RNAcentral lists this unclassified non-coding RNA (289 nucleotides) under Hevea brasiliensis (rubber tree). The record is from RNAcentral. Lineage: Eukaryota; Viridiplantae; Streptophyta; Magnoliopsida; Malpighiales; Euphorbiaceae.
AAAUGACUAUAUAUAGUUAUAAUUCAAAAAAUUGUACAUAAAUGGCUUUAUCCCCUUUGUGAAACAAAAUAAAAGCUAGACAUACAUAGUAAAAUUUCAAAUCACACUGCCAUCUGUGAUACAGUUUCCAAAGGCAUCAAAACCAGAAAAUGAUUACACAAUUAUGAUUUCAUAGCAUAGUACAUCCAUGAUUUCUUGGGCCAGUGUCAAACAAAAAUACCCAAUACUUCACACAUCAAUGAGGAUCCGAUGAACUGAAAGUUUGCACCACAGAAGCUCACUUUUCCUU